RNAcentral lists this ribosomal RNA (848 nucleotides) under uncultured organism. RNAcentral's name for it is "bacterial SSU rRNA". It matches the Rfam family "Bacterial small subunit ribosomal RNA", at positions 25 to 873 of the family's 1533-position model. The record is from RNAcentral.
CAGGAUGAACGCUAGCGGCAGGCCUAACACAUGCAAGUCGAGGGGUAAGUGUUCAGCUUGCUGAACACACGACCGGCGCACGGGUGAGUAACGCGUUUGCAAUUUACCCUAACUGGAAGAUAGCCCGAAGAAAUUCGGAUUAAUACUCCAUAAUAUUAGGAAUUCGCAUGAUUUCCUAAUUAAAGCUCCGGCGGUUAGAGAUGAGCAUGCGUGUCAUUAGCUAGUUGGUAAGGUAACGGCUUACCAAGGCGACGAUGACUAGGGGGUCUGAGAGGAUGGUCCCCCACACUGGUACUGAGACACGGACCAGACUCCUACGGGAGGCAGCAGUGAGGAAUAUUGGGCAAUGGGCGCAAGCCUGACCCAGCCAUGCCGCGUGCAGGAUGACUGCCCUAUGGGUUGUAAACUGCUUUUAUACGGGAAGAAUGGUUCCUACGUGUAGGGAUUUGACGGUACCGUAAGAAUAAGCAUCGGCUAACUCCGUGCCAGCAGCCGCGGUAAUACGGAGGAUGCAAGCGUUAUCCGGAUUCAUUGGGUUUAAAGGGUGCGCAGGCGGAAUAUUAAGUCAGUGGUGAAAUCCUGCAGCUUAACUGUAGAACUGCCAUUGAUACUGAUAUUCUUGAGUAUAGUUGAGGUGGGCGGAAUGUGUAAUGUAGCGGUGAAAUGCUUAGAUAUUACACAGAACACCGAUUGCGAAGGCAGCUCACUAAACUAAUAUUGACGCUGAGGCACGAAAGCGUGGGGAGCGAACAGGAUUAGAUACCCUGGUAGUCCACGCUGUAAACGAUGAUCACUCGCUGUUGGCAAUACAUCGUCAGCGGCUGAGCGAAAGCAUUAAGUGAUCCACC